This 68-nucleotide transfer RNA is filed under the name Napialus hunanensis. Its description in RNAcentral is "tRNA-Phe". Lineage: Eukaryota; Metazoa; Arthropoda; Insecta; Lepidoptera; Hepialidae. The record is from RNAcentral.
ACUUAAAUAACUUAUAUUUUAGAGUAUAAUAUUGAAGAUAUUAAAGAAGUUUUUUAAACUUUUAAGUA